This 256-nucleotide ribosomal RNA is filed under the name uncultured bacterium. RNAcentral's name for it is "partial 16S ribosomal RNA". It matches the Rfam family "Bacterial small subunit ribosomal RNA", at positions 526 to 779 of the family's 1533-position model. The record is from RNAcentral.
CGUAGGGUGCGAGCGUUGUCCGGAAUUAUUGGGCGUAAAGAGCUCGUAGGCGGCUUGUCGCGUCGGUUGUGAAAAGCCCCGGGGCUUAACCCCGGGUCUGCAGUCGAUACGGGCAGGCUAGAGUUCGGUAGGGGAGAUCGGAAUUCCUGGUGUAGCGGUGAAAUGCGCAGAUAUCAGGAGGAACACCGGUGGCGAAGGCGGAUCUCUGGGCCGAUACUGACGCUGAGGAGCGAAAGCGUGGGGAGCGAACAGGAUU